RNAcentral lists this ribosomal RNA (472 nucleotides) under uncultured bacterium. Its description in RNAcentral is "bacterial SSU rRNA". It matches the Rfam family "Bacterial small subunit ribosomal RNA", at positions 355 to 825 of the family's 1533-position model. The record is from RNAcentral.
UGGGGAAUUUUGGACAAUGGGGGCAACCCUGAUCCAGCAAUGCCGCGUGUGUGAAGAAGGUCUUCGGAUUGUAAAGCACUUUAAGUUGGGAGGAAGGGCAGUAAAUUAAUACUUUGCUGUUUUGACGUUACCGACAGAAUAAGCACCGGCUAACUCUGUGCCAGCAGCCGCGGUAAUACAGAGGGUGCAAGCGUUAAUCGGAAUUACUGGGCGUAAAGCGCGCGUAGGUGGUUCGUUAAGUUGGAUGUGAAAUCCCCGGGCUCAACCUGGGAACUGCAUUCAAAACUGACGAGCUAGAGUAUGGUAGAGGGUGGUGGAAUUUCCUGUGUAGCGGUGAAAUGCGUAGAUAUAGGAAGGAACACCAGUGGCGAAGGCGACCACCUGGACUGAUACUGACACUGAGGUGCGAAAGCGUGGGGAGCAAACAGGAUUAGAUACCCGAGUAGUCCCUGAGCGGGCUGGCAAGGCGCAU